This 483-nucleotide ribosomal RNA is filed under the name uncultured bacterium. Its description in RNAcentral is "partial 16S ribosomal RNA". It matches the Rfam family "Bacterial small subunit ribosomal RNA", at positions 28 to 507 of the family's 1533-position model. The record is from RNAcentral.
GACGAACGCUGGCGGCGUGCUUAACACAUGCAAGUCGAACGCUGAAGCUCAGCUUUUGUUGGGUGGAUGAGUGGCGAACGGGUGAGUAACACGUGAGUAACCUGCCUCCUUCUUUGGGAUAACGCCCGGAAACGGGUGCUAAUACUGGAUAUUCACUGGUCUUCGCAUGGGGGUUGGUGGAAAGGGUUUUUCUGGUGGGGGAUGGGCUCGCGGCCUAUCAGCUUGUUGGUGGGGUGAUGGCCUACCAAGGCUUUGACGGGUAGCCGGCCUGAGAGGGUGACCGGUCACAUUGGGACUGAGAUACGGACCAGACUCCUGCGGGAGGCAGCAGUGGGGAAUAUUGCACAAUGGGCGCAAGCCUGAUGCAGCGACGCCGCGUGGGGGAUGGAGGCCUUCGGGUUGUGAACCUCUUUCGCUCAUGGUCAAGCCGCAACAAUGGUUGUGGUGAGGGUAGUGGGUAAAGAAGCGCCGGCUAACUACGUG